GAAAUGCGAUACGUAAUGUGAAUUGCAGAAUUCAGUGAAUCAUCGAAUCUUUGAACGCACCUUGCGCCCCUUGGUAUUCCGAGGGGCACACCCGUUUGAGUGUCGUGAAAAUCUCAACCUUCUCGGUUUUCUUCUGGACACCGAAGGAGGCUUGGACUUUGGAGGCCUUUGCUGGCAUCUCUCUCUUCUUUGAGAGCCAGCUCCUCUUAAACGAAUUAGCGGGGUCCUCUUUGCCGAUCCUCGACAUGUGAUAAGAUGUUUCCAUGACUUGGUUUCUGGCUCUGUUGCCUUUGGGACCUGCUUCUAACCGUCUCGACGAGACGACGUUUGGGCGCGUCUCCCUUCUCGGGAGACUCUCUCAACCCCACGAACCCUUGACCUCAAAUCGGGUGAGACUACC
Molecule: unclassified non-coding RNA, 400 nt
Filed under: uncultured Lactarius
Lineage: Eukaryota; Fungi; Basidiomycota; Agaricomycetes; Russulales; Russulaceae
Description: sequence contains ITS1
Rfam family: 5.8S ribosomal RNA (bases 1-105)
Source: RNAcentral